This 839-nucleotide ribosomal RNA is filed under the name uncultured bacterium. RNAcentral's name for it is "bacterial SSU rRNA". It matches the Rfam family "Bacterial small subunit ribosomal RNA", at positions 8 to 840 of the family's 1533-position model. The record is from RNAcentral.
AGAGUUUGAUCCUGGCUCAGAUUGAACGCUGGCGGCAGGCCUAACACAUGCAAGUCGAACGGUAGCACAGAGAGCUUGCUCUCGGGUGACGAGUGGCGGACGGGUGAGUAAUGUCUGGGAAACUGCCUGAUGGAGGGGGAUAACUACUGGAAACGGUAGCUAAUACCGCAUAAUGUCGCAAGACCAAAGAGGGGGACCUUCGGGCCUCUUGCCAUCGGAUGUGCCCAGAUGGGAUUAGCUUGUUGGUGAGGUAACGGCUCACCAAGGCGACGAUCCCUAGCUGGUCUGAGAGGAUGACCAGCCACACUGGAACUGAGACACGGUCCAGACUCCUACGGGAGGCAGCAGUGGGGAAUAUUGCACAAUGGGCGCAAGCCUGAUGCAGCCAUGCCGCGUGUAUGAAGAAGGCCUUCGGGUUGUAAAGUACUUUCAGCGAGGAGGAAGGCGGUAAGGUUAAUAACCUUACCGAUUGACGUUACUCGCAGAAGAAGCACCGGCUAACUCCGUGCCAGCAGCCGCGGUAAUACGGAGGGUGCAAGCGUUAAUCGGAAUUACUGGGCGUAAAGCGCACGCAGGCGGUCUGUCAAGUCGGAUGUGAAAUCCCCGGGCUCAACCUGGGAACUGCAUUCGAAACUGGCAGGCUAGAGUCUUGUAGAGGGGGGGUAGAAUUCCAGGUGUAGCGGUGAAAUGCGUAGAGAUCUGGAGGAAUACCGGUGGCGAAGGCGGCCCCCUGGACAAAGACUGACGCUCAGUGCGAAAGCGUGGGGAGCAACAGGAUUAGAUACCCUGGUAGUCCACGCCGUAACGAUUCGAAACUUGGAGGUGUGCCCUUGAGCGUG